This 72-nucleotide transfer RNA is filed under the name Danio rerio (zebrafish). RNAcentral's name for it is "tRNA-Pro (TGG) (tRNA-Pro-TGG-58-1)". It matches the Rfam family "tRNA". From Rfam's summary of the family: Transfer RNA (tRNA) molecules are approximately 80 nucleotides in length. The record is from Rfam by way of RNAcentral. Lineage: Eukaryota; Metazoa; Chordata; Actinopteri; Cypriniformes; Danionidae.
GGCUCGUUGGUCUAGCGGUAUGAUUCUCGCUUUGGGUGUGAGAGGUCAUAGGUUCAAAUCCCAGACGAGCCC